This 468-nucleotide ribosomal RNA is filed under the name uncultured bacterium. RNAcentral describes it as "partial 16S ribosomal RNA". It matches the Rfam family "Bacterial small subunit ribosomal RNA", at positions 28 to 507 of the family's 1533-position model. The record is from RNAcentral.
GACGAACGCUGGCGGCGUGCUUAACACAUGCAAGUCGAACGGAAAGGCCCUGCUUUUGUGGGGUGCUCGAGUGGCGAACGGGUGAGUAACACGUGAGUAACCUGCCCUUGACUUUGGGAUAACUUCAGGAAACUGGGGCUAAUACCGGAUAGGAGCUCCUGCUGCAUGGUGGGGGUUGGAAAGUUUCGGCGGUUGGGGAUGGACUCGCGGCUUAUCAGCUUGUUGGUGGGGUAGUGGCUUACCAAGGCUUUGACGGGUAGCCGGCCUGAGAGGGUGACCGGCCACAUUGGGACUGAGAUACGGCCCAGACGCCUACGGGAGGCAGCAGUGGGGAAUAUUGCACAAUGGGCGGAAGCCUGAUGCAGCAACGCCGCGUGCGGGAUGACGGCCUUCGGGUUGUAAACCGCUUUCGCCUGUGACGAAGCGUGAGUGACGGUAAUGGGUAAAGAGGCACCGGCUAACUACGUG